AACGAACGCUGGCGGCAUGCCUAACACAUGCAAGUCGAACGAGACCUUCGUGUCUAGUUGCGCUCGUGUGCGUAACGCGUGGGAACCUGCCCUUAGGUUCGGAAUAACUCCCCGAAAGGUAUGCUAAUACCGGUUAAUGUCUUCGGGCCAAAGAUUUAUCGCUAUUGGAUGGGCCCUCGUUGGAUUAGCUAGUUGGUAGGGUACAAGCCUACCAUGGCGACGAUCCAUAGCUGGUCGGAGAGGAUGCUCAGCUACACUGGGAAUGAGACCCGGACCAGACUCGUACGGAAGGCAGCAGUGGGGAAUAUUGGAGGCGGGGCGAAAGCCUGAUACAGCAACGCCGCGUGAGUGAUGAAGGCCUUAGUGUUCUAAAGCCCUUUUACACGGGAUGAUAAUGACAGUAACGGGAGAAUAAGCACCGGCUAACUACGUG
Molecule: ribosomal RNA, 433 nt
Filed under: uncultured bacterium
Lineage: Bacteria
Description: partial 16S ribosomal RNA
Rfam family: Bacterial small subunit ribosomal RNA
Source: RNAcentral